Molecule: long non-coding RNA, 1141 nt
Filed under: Pan troglodytes (chimpanzee)
Lineage: Eukaryota; Metazoa; Chordata; Mammalia; Primates; Hominidae
Description: lncRNA (ENSPTRG00000053989.1)
Source: RNAcentral
AAAGGAAUCAAAAUAGUACUUUCAAAGAGAAAUCUUUCUGUUAUUAAUCCUCUAAUCCACAUGACUUCUCUAGCUCAUUUGCAGACCUACGAAGGAGGCCCUUGGGAUACAAAGGUAAGACUCCCAUUUCCUGGUGCAUUUCAUUUGUUCGUGGACACGUCUAUUCUCUGAUGGCAAGCAUGUAACUUACAAGCAUCCAAAUCGUCUGCACAAUACAGACCUUGUCCCUAUAUAUAAUACUGGGCAAGCUGUUGCUCUAUGGACAGCAUUCGAGUCUCAUUCAUAUGGCCAGAGCCAAAUAUUUGUUUCUAAAAAUGGGAAAUGAGAUCUUUUUCAUUUGAGUGUUUUCAUUCAUUUACAAUAAUUCGACCAAAUAUUUUUGAAUACUUUCUACACACCAAAAACCAUCCAAACAUCUGGGGGAUCUGUAGAUGAAAGACAGAUUUCUGCCUUGGGGAGAGGGAACUCACAAUAGGGUCAGGAAGAAAGUCAUAAAAGCAGAGAUGAAAACAGCGUAAUGAUUGGUGUGGAGGAGAUACGAGUAGGAGGAUGGAGUGUACGGGAGCAGGGUUCUCAUCUCAGACAUUGGUAUAAGCUUCGGGGACUUACUAGUGACUGAGGUCCCCAUCUUGUAUGCAACAUCAGCACUUUCAGAGUACCUUCAAUGAGAUUCAUAUUUCAUUUCAGGUGAUCUUCUCAACAUAUACCUCAGUUAACAUUGUGCGGAUGGCCGCCUUCUCCUCUCCUGGAAAUAUGCAAAUUGACAACACAUUUGUAGGUCUCACUGGUCCCUGCAACUGAUGCAACCUUUCCUUUAAGAGAAUAGGACAUCAUGUUCAUAAAGAAACUUGGAUCUCGAACAUACCUAAAAAGCAGCUUAAAGUCCUUGGAGCAAACGGUACAGCUGAGAAAUGUUACACCAGUUGGGUGUCAAUCCAUAAAACCCGUUCUAGAGAAAAUCGUGGAGAUGUUUAAAGACAUGAAGCCAAAGACAAAUUUUUCAACCAGAACCCUCAAGAAAUGUCACUUCUGUGUCUUGCCAAGAGAGAUCCAGCAUUUUUUCUACAUAAACAUCUGCUGGAAACAUUUUAAAGAUGCUGCUUGCCUGACAGAGGAAUGGAAUGACUUGCUGAAGGAGUAG